GGGAGCUCGGUAAGAAGUCGCCAUCCACGUGCACUAUUGUUUUCCACGGAGGUUUGUAAUUUUUAUCUCGAGCUUUGAUUUCAGUUCCCUCAACCUUGGCCUUUCGGGGAGGGGCUACUGUUGCUGCCGGCCUCCGGGCGCAACGAGAAUUUAAAUACGGAGAGCACCCCGUUUCCUCCUCACCACGGCCGCGCCGUGCCGCACGCGCGCCUCAUCUCCCCGCCGCCGCGGGUCCCGUGACGACCCCACCAACCCAGCAGUCCGCCAGCCCGCGUCGGCCGGCCUCCCCUCCGCGGCUGCGACUCCACCACCCCCUCAGCAGGGUACCAGGCUUUGGCGCCUCCCACGGUCUCCGGACACACCAGGAUCCAGCUAUCCAGCCCCUGCUCUCAUCCUCUGCCCACCCGCGUGGAAGAGGUGCACGGAGAGGAUAGGGCGGCAGAGCCCCGCAGUCAGGAACCUCGGGUUAACACGACCCCAAAAGAUACCUGCUUUACUUCAGAUGUUUGGAUGCAGUACACACACACACACACACCCUCACCUGUUUUUGUUUUGUUUUGUUUUUUGGUUUUUUGCCUAUUCUUUGCCUGACACCAGGAAUGAGAUAGGCAAAUGUGUAUGUGUAAGGAAGCUGAAUGCAUACUUAGUUGAGCGACCCCUGAACUUUUGACAGCAUCCUCUUCCACUUUUGACAGCAUCCUCUUCCACUUUAAGGCGAAAGCACCUAACAUUAGACCAAGCUGUGAAGAAUCAUAGUUAUUUUGUCUUGGUGGGUGCCUAAGAAUUGGAGGAAUCUAACCGGAUAAGAUAGUCCACACCUGUAAGCCCAGCAGCCCUGGGAAGGCCGAGGCAGGAGACUCAGGUCGACUUUGAGGUGGACCUGGAUUACAUGGUGAGUUCAAUCUAGCCUGAAUCACAUACUGAGACCCUGUCAAAGAAAAAAAAAAAAAAACAGGGAAGAAUCAAAUUUAAACUUACUUGACCUUCUGAAGGUAGGCUUGCACUAUUCAGAGUCACUUAGGAAAUACUUUCUUGGGAGUGUGAAAAUAAACUAGAGAUGAUGGAGUAAAAUAAACCACAUGUGCUGUCUUUGGUGGGAUCCAGGUUAGCAGGACAAACCAGCUGCUUUCUGGACAACUGACUAAAUGUUUCAACUUGCUAACAAGUGACAACAAUCUGAUCCUGGUAGAACUAUAACAUUCUAAAAUUUUUUUUGAGGGAGUCUUUUUGAGACACGGUCUCACUAUGCAGUUCAGGCUGGCCUCAACUCGAAACAAUCCUCCUGCCCCAGCCUCCCAGUGCUGUGAUUACAGGCAGGAGCCACCAAACUCGGCUUUUCUUUUUCUUUUUUUCUAAAUAUUUAUUAAAAAGAAAAAACCCGCAAUCCAUUGUACUUACCAUCAGCAAGUGCCCAGCGCCUGAUUCCUUACUGCGUUCUCAAAACGUUGGUUCCAGUCCUGAUUCUGAUAGUUACUACUUUGUGCUACUCAUGUCACCUCUCAAUCUGUAAACAGUUGAGAAUAAAAUGAGAUAAUACGUAGAAACAUGCCCUGAAUGUAUUUAGAGCCUAUCAGACAUUAGCUCGCUGUCUUUUACCUCUUCCCUUCUGAGUUUGAGCUUACCCAGCUGGCCUUCUUGUCUCACCAACUGUGGCCUUCAUUCCUUCUGUAGGGGCAGAUCAGAGGGACAUAAACAAAAACCCAGGGCAAACACAGAUGACUAACUUUGUAGAAUCAUCACAUGCUUAUCUAUGGCUGAUGAUG
Molecule: long non-coding RNA, 1763 nt
Organism: Cavia porcellus (domestic guinea pig)
Lineage: Eukaryota; Metazoa; Chordata; Mammalia; Rodentia; Caviidae
Source: Ensembl